AAAUUGAAGAGUUUGAUCAUGGCUCAGAUUGAACGCUGGCGGCAGGCCUAACACAUGCAAGUCGAACGGUAACAGGAAACAGCUUGCUGUUUCGCUGACGAGUGGCGGACGGGUGAGUAAUGUCUGGGAAACUGCCUGAUGGAGGGGGAUAACUACUGGAAACGGUAGCUAAUACCGCAUAACGUCGCAAGACCAAAGAGGGGGACCUUCUGGCCUCUUGCCAUCGGAUGUGCCCAGAUGGGAUUAGCUAGUAGGUGGGGUAACGGCUCACCUAGGCGACGAUCCCUAGCUGGUCUGAGAGGAUGAACAGUCACACUGGAACUGAGACACGGUCCAGACUCCUACGGGAGGCAGCAGUGGGGAAUAUUGCACAAUGGGCGCAAGCCUGAUGCAGCCAUGCCGCGUGUAUGAAGAAGGCCUUCGGGUUGUAAAGUACUUUCAGCGGGGAGGAAGGGAGUAAAGUUAAUACCUUUGCUCAUUGACGUUACCCGCAGAAGAAGCACCGGCUAACUCCGUGCCAGCAGCCGCGGUAAUACGGAGGGUGCAAGCGUUAAUCGGAAUUACUGGGCGUAAAGCGCACGCAGGCGGUUUGUUAAGUCAGAUGUGAAAUCCCC
Molecule: ribosomal RNA, 614 nt
Filed under: Shigella flexneri
Lineage: Bacteria; Pseudomonadati; Pseudomonadota; Gammaproteobacteria; Enterobacterales; Enterobacteriaceae
Description: bacterial SSU rRNA
Rfam family: Bacterial small subunit ribosomal RNA
Source: RNAcentral